This 207-nucleotide ribosomal RNA is filed under the name uncultured bacterium. RNAcentral's name for it is "partial 16S ribosomal RNA". It matches the Rfam family "Bacterial small subunit ribosomal RNA", at positions 568 to 774 of the family's 1533-position model. The record is from RNAcentral.
UGCGUAGGCGGCUCUAUAAGUCAGAAGUGAAAGCCUGCGGCUUAACCGUAGAAUUGCUUUUGAUACUGUAGAGCUUGAAUUAGGUUGAGGUUGGCGGAAUGUGACAUGUAGCGGUGAAAUGCAUAGAUAUGUCAUAGAACACCAAUUGCGAAGGCAGCUGACUAGACCUUAAUUGACGCUGAGGCACGAAAGCGUGGGGAGCGAACA